This 1703-nucleotide ribosomal RNA is filed under the name Machilis hrabei. RNAcentral's name for it is "SSU rRNA". It matches the Rfam family "Eukaryotic small subunit ribosomal RNA". The record is from RNAcentral. Lineage: Eukaryota; Metazoa; Arthropoda; Insecta; Archaeognatha; Machilidae.
AAGGUGAAACCGCGAAUGGCUCAUUAAAUCAGUUAUGGUUCCUUAGAUCGUACUUUCCUACUUGGAUAACUGUGGUAAUUCUAGAGCUAAUACAUGCAACCGAGCUCCGACCUUACGGAAAGAGCGCUUUUAUUAGAUCAAGACCAAUCGGUCCUUCGGGUCCGUCCACUUGGUGACUCUGAAUAACUUUGGGCUGAUCGCACGGUCUCGCACCGGCGACGCAUCUUUCAAAUGUCUGCCUUAUCAACUUUCGAUGGUAGGUUCUGCGCCUACCAUGGUCGUAACGGGUAACGGGGAAUCAGGGUUCGAUUCCGGAGAGGGAGCCUGAGAAACGGCUACCACAUCCAAGGAAGGCAGCAGGCGCGCAAAUUACCCACUCCCGGCACGGGGAGGUAGUGACGAAAAAUAACAAUACGGGACUCAUCCGAGGCCCCGUAAUUGGAAUGAGUACACUUUAAAACCUUUAACGAGUAUCUAUUGGAGGGCAAGUCUGGUGCCAGCAGCCGCGGUAAUUCCAGCUCCAAUAGCGUAUAUUAAAGUUGUUGCGGUUAAAAAGCUCGUAGUUGGACUUGGGUCGCGGGCAGUCGGUUCACUAGCCGGUGUACACUGACUGGUCCGGACGUCCUGCCGGAUCGUCCUCGGUGCUCUUCACUGAGUGUCUUGGGUGGCCGGCACGUUUACUUUGAACAAAUUAGAGUGCUUAAAGCAGGCAGUUCGCCUGAAUACUGGUGCAUGGAAUAAUGGAAUAGGACCUCGGUUCUAUUUUGUUGGUUUUCGGAACUUGAGGUAAUGAUUAAUAGAGACGGACGGGGGCAUUCGUAUUGCGACGUUAGAGGUGAAAUUCUUGGAUCGUCGCAAGACGAACUAGUGCGAAAGCAUUUGCCAAGAAUGCUUUCAUUAAUCAAGAACGAAAGUUAGAGGUUCGAAGGCGAUCAGAUACCGCCCUAGUUCUAACCAUAAACGAUGCCAGCCAGCGAUCCGCCGAAGUUCCUUGGAUGACUCGGCGGGCAGCUUCCGGGAAACCAAAGCUUUUGGGUUCCGGGGGAAGUAUGGUUGCAAAGCUGAAACUUAAAGGAAUUGACGGAAGGGCACCACCAGGAGUGGAGCCUGCGGCUUAAUUUGACUCAACACGGGAAACCUCACCAGGCCCGGACACUGGAAGGAUUGACAGAUUGAUAGCUCUUUCUUGAUUCAGUGGGUGGUGGUGCAUGGCCGUUCUUAGUUAGGUGGAGCGAUUUGUCUGGUUAAUUCCGAUAACGAACGAGACUCUGGCCUGCUAACUAGAUGUCGGAUCUCAUCGAGUCCGAUUUUCUUCUUAGAGGGACAGGCGGCGUCUAGCCGCACGAGAUUGAGCAAUAACAGGUCUGUGAUGCCCUUAGAUGUUCUGGGCCGCACGCGCGCUACACUGAAGGAAUCAGCGUGUGCCCCCUGUCCGAGAGGACCGGGUAACCCGCUGAACCUCCUUCGUGCUAGGGAUUGGGGAUUGCAAUUAUUUCCCAUGAACGAGGAAUUCCCAGUAAGCGCGAGUCAUAAGCUCGCGUUGAUUACGUCCCUGCCCUUUGUACACACCGCCCGUCGCUACUACCGAUUGAAUGAUUUAGUGAGGCCUUCAGACUGGGGCACUGCGUCACCCUCACGGGUGACACGGAUGCUCUGGAAAGAUGGCCAAACUUGAUCAUUUAGAGGAAGUAAAAGUCGUAACA